Molecule: long non-coding RNA, 807 nt
Organism: Perca fluviatilis (European perch)
Lineage: Eukaryota; Metazoa; Chordata; Actinopteri; Perciformes; Percidae
Exons: 5
Source: RefSeq, a predicted model, not a curated record
CUCUACAUAUGGGUGCCCGCUCUACCAACUGAGCUAUCCGGGCACCCAACCCUGUAACUUUUAGCCCUACAGGUUGUCUCAUUGGAAAUACAACUCGCGCUAGUUGUAGCGAGUUUAGCUGCAGCACUCUGGCUAUAGAUUCCUGCUGCUGAGAUGAAUUGCCAACUUCUCCGAGACUGCUUCGGAGCUACAGUGGGAUUAACUCUCUGAGUUGUGCACUUCAGAAUAUGUACUGAUCCAGCAGGGGACUAAAAACAAGGAGGCUGGAGCUGCAAGUCAUCCCCAAAUGAGAUGGAGGAUUCCCCAAAACUAAUGGUGCGUUGAGGCUGUCCUCCCCCUUUGAGGUAAUGACACCACAGGAAGAAGUCAGUCAGCGAAUACUCUGCGUCUCGACUGUCACAGAUUUUACUGACACUGCUGAGCUGUGAAGAACUCUCAACCUGAGGAAUGGAAUUACCUCGCUGAGUUGUGCACGAUGCAAUGAAACAUAAGGGAUGCUGAGGACAGAAGGGUGUGACAUUUCACAGGAAGACGUCUGUGCCCACAGAUCCCUGGCAUGGUGAGGGAAAGUGUCAUGCUGUAUCAGUGAUGGGCGCUCCUGGAAUAUGCAGACAGGGAGCCUAUGUCCCAUGUCGAAUGAAAUUAAAUCAGAAAAAACUCCGAAAGCAAGAAAGGCCGAUGUUUUAGAAAACAGAACAAUGUUAAAAAAAUGUUGACCUGGUAAGAUAUAUAAAAAUGAGCUGUAAAAAGCCACACCCCCAGUCUACCUGGUAUAUUCUUGUAAUUAACAAGGUAUUAUAACUUCAU